AACCGAGAACUCCUACGGGAGGCAGCAGUGGGGAAUAUUGGACAAUGGGGGGAACCCUGAUCCAGCCAUGCCGCGUGUGUGAAGAAGGCCUUUUGGUUGUAAAGCACUUUAAGCGAGGAGGAGGCUACUCUAGUUAAUACCUAGGGAUAGUGGACGUUACUCGCAGAAUAAGCACCGGCUAACUCUGUGCCAGCAGCCGCGGUAAUACAGAGGGUGCGAGCGUUAAUCGGAUUUACUGGGCGUAAAGCGUGCGUAGGCGGCUUUUUAAGUCGGAUGUGAAAUCCCUGAGCUUAACUUAGGAAUUGCAUUCGAUACUGGGAAGCUAGAGUAUGGGAGAGGAUGGUAGAAUUCCAGGUGUAGCGGUGAAAUGCGUAGAGAUCUGGAGGAAUACCGAUGGCGAAGGCAGCCAUCUGGCCUAAUACUGACGCUGAGGUACGAAAGCAUGGGGAGCAAACAGGAUUAGAAACCCGAGUAGUCCGACUGAGA
Molecule: ribosomal RNA, 486 nt
Filed under: uncultured bacterium
Lineage: Bacteria
Description: bacterial SSU rRNA
Rfam family: Bacterial small subunit ribosomal RNA
Source: RNAcentral